Molecule: long non-coding RNA, 308 nt
Organism: Priapulus caudatus
Lineage: Eukaryota; Metazoa; Priapulida; Priapulimorpha; Priapulimorphida; Priapulidae
Exons: 3
Source: RefSeq, a predicted model, not a curated record
CGCGUGUGUGUAUGUAGGGUGUAUUAGUGUUCAGUGAAAGAGAUAUUGUAUUAGUAUAGUAAGGGUACAAGCAAUUUUGGGUAAUGUUGGAUUGUCUAAUCGCCAGGAUGAGAGACGUACAGGUGCGCGUGCGUAUGCGUGUGUGUAUGUAGGAUGUAAGUGUGCAUGGGUGUGUACGCAGGGUGGAUUACGAUUAGGGUUUAUUUUAGAUUAGCGAGGACGCUAAAGUCGAUGGCUUAUAGAAGCCAUCGUCUUGGAGGAAAGGAAGGUAAUGUAAAGUAUGGUUUGCAGAUGUUACAAAUAGUAGU